AUACGGAGGGUGCGAGCGUUGUCCGGAUUUAUUGGGUUUAAAGGGUGCGUAGGCUGGAAGGUCAGUCAGCGGUGAAAAGCAGUUGCUCAACAAUUGUCUUGCCGCAGAUACUUCCUUUCUUGGAUUGGGAGGAGGUCACCGGAACGGAUGGUGUAGCGGUGAAAUGCAUAGAUAUCAUCCAGAACGCCAAUUGCGAAGGCAGGUGACUGUACCUAUAUCGACGCUGAUGCACGAAAGCAUGGGUAGC
RNAcentral lists this ribosomal RNA (247 nucleotides) under uncultured bacterium. RNAcentral describes it as "partial 16S ribosomal RNA". It matches the Rfam family "Bacterial small subunit ribosomal RNA", at positions 523 to 769 of the family's 1533-position model. The record is from RNAcentral.